RNAcentral lists this long non-coding RNA (889 nucleotides) under Homo sapiens (human). RNAcentral describes it as "HSALNT0210984". Lineage: Eukaryota; Metazoa; Chordata; Mammalia; Primates; Hominidae. The record is from RNAcentral.
AAGCAAAUGCUGGGGAGAACUUUGAUUUAGAUUCUACAGAGUGAUUUAAACUAACAAGAGAGUUGUUGAUGUGGGCAGUGAGACAACUGUGAUCUCUGCAUUUUGUCAGCAUCAUCUGUACUUUUUUGUACUUGGUAAAAAACAUUGUGGACAAUAACCAGCAUCAGUCAAAUUAUGUAAUUUUCCUUCUCUUUGGGAAUUUUAAAUUACAAAUUUAUGGACAACUUAUUAAUUUAUUUCUUUAUCUUGGUAUUUACUUCUCAAACUUCACUUUUCAUAGCUGUAAAAGCUCAUGAGUGAUUGUGAUUGGGAACAGUUCUUAUUAAGGAAAAGUGAAAAUUAACUUGUGGGUUAACACAGCAAUAAGAAGAAGAGAAGAUGUUAAGAAUAAUACACUUGUUAUGGUGGAGAGUGAAGAGGAAACACUGAUCUUUGGCUUUAGGGACUGAUCGAGUGAGGUUUUCUGCCCUAGGAUACACCCAGUCAGGAAGCAGUGACUGUGGUCUGUUCCAAUCACGCCUGCAGAUCUGGCCGGGCUAGAAUCCGUUAGUUGAACGACUUAGCCAUUUAGCAGAGACCAGCUGGUUUCUCACAAAAUCCAUUUCCUGUUCUUGAGCAGUCCCAUAAGCUACAUUUUUCUGCCUCCCUUGCAGUAAUGUAUCACCAUAUAGCUGAGUUCUUUUCUCCCACAUGCUGCUGUUCAUCCCCUUUCCCCAUCUGCAAGCUGGAUGUGGAGGACUCUGAGGUCUUAGAAAAUGAUGAAGAAAUAUAUGAAAGGACCGUGGACCCCAGAAUGACCACGUGGAAUGUUUACUGGUGACCAGGAAUACACAUUUUGAACAUAGAUCUAGGUUGGAACUCUUUAACAUCUUGACCCUGCUAGAGUUUU